Molecule: RNA transcript, 5855 nt
Organism: Capsicum annuum
Lineage: Eukaryota; Viridiplantae; Streptophyta; Magnoliopsida; Solanales; Solanaceae
Exons: 3
Source: RefSeq, a predicted model, not a curated record
UACCAAAACCCUAAACUCACUCUAAAAAAUUUUUAGCCGCAUCUCCUCUCUCGCUAAACUCCGACCACCUUCACAACUGGAGCCAUUGCCGACGACGCCUUCACAGCCACUGAAAUUUCCAAGCUGUCCGCACCACCACCGGUGACAACCAAGCUGUCCUCACCACUACCAGUAACAACUACAACAGUCGCCGACAACCAACCAGUCGUCCGCACCACCGCCAUCGCCGCCAACAAACACCCUCCUCCAGAAGGUUUGAUGUCUCAACCUACACCAGCUAUGUAGCUCUGGAGCGCAAGGAUUGCUUUUAAGAAUCACACCCUCUACUCGUAGGUGAGUUCCCAUCCUUGGGCUCACUCGAUAUUGAAUCCUACUCCCAUCUGAUUAGACACUGAAUUAAUUAUACUAAACUGACUGAACUGAGAUAACUAAGUUCCGUUAACUGACAGAAUAUUACUGAGAUUUGAUAACUGACUGAGAUUACUGAGUUUUCCUGAGUCAUGAGACUGACUGAAUUCUACUGAACAUGGCUUGCCUAAGAGUAUCUUGAAAACUGACACUGGCUCUAGGUACACAACUAAAUUAUCGGGUACAAUACCCCCAGGACUCGAUAGCAUGAAACUAACAAGACAUGACACUUCUUGACAGAUAACCAUAGUCAACAAUUCAUAGUACAAUCAUUGAGGAUUUUCAUGAAGUAUUCGCAUGCUAUAAGCUUACACGUGAAUAGGAAUGCAUGUAAACAUAUCAUAAUUUUAUAAGCCUAAUCUCAUGAGCAUUACGUUAAUCUAUUACAAAGCAUAACAAUAACGUGGGAGUCAUAUCAAACAUAAGGGAGAAACAUGGAUUCAUCAAUUUUGGUCACAAAUGAGUCAUAAGGCAAAAUUCCUAUUCCCUUAGGCAUUUUAUCAAACACCUUGCAUGCAUAUCUUUAGGCUUAGGCAUGAAUAUUGAAAUAAUACUUCAUGGCAAUAUUUUACACUUCCAAUGCAAGAAUUUCAACAAAUACUAACAUAUUUUCAUGAUAGUCAUUAAAGACUUCAACUUGGAAAUCAAACAACAACAUAAACAUGGAUAUAAUUUAAUUCAUACCAUGGAAUCCAAAGUUUAUAUUUCAAAUAGGGUUUCUUGAGCUUCAUGGGUGAAAGGAACCCAUGAAUCAAUACUUGACAUAUCUGAGUGGAUGAUUUCUUUAAGAUUGGUGGAGAAAAACUUGAAUUCUUGCCUUAGGAUUAGACACCUAGGGUUUCUUGUUCUUGGGGAUUGAUCUUUGAGAGAAACCCUAAUUUGGUGUUAUGGAUGAAUAAAGAAGGUAUGAGCUUUGGUAUGGUAUAAUUAGGGGUUAAAACAGGUGAAAAAAGACCCAAAUAGCCUUUUAAAAAUGGCUUAAAAUUAUUGAUCGAAAGUGGCGACGAUUUGAGCGACGGUCUAUCGCUGGAUCGACGGUUCGUUGGUCCUGACCGUCGCACUUAGCCAGAACCUAAACUUUCUGCCUCGUCUGCGAUGGUUUGGGCGACGGUUCAUCGCUAGCUCGACGGUCCAUCGGUCCUGACCAUCGUACUUGAACAGAAGUCGGGUUCACUGCCUUAGUCGCGACAGCUUGGGCGAUGGUCCAUCGGCCUGACCGUCGCUUCUGGGCAGUUCCGACAGUUCUCUGUAAAAUAUCCAUAACUUUUUACUCUGAUACCGAAUUUGGACGAAAUUGGUAUCGUUGGAAAGCUAAUUAAAUUUUUCACAUGAUAAAAAGUUAAAAUUGGAGAAAUUCUAUCUAUUUUAAACAUUAACCAUUUAUAAAUUCAUCACUAACUCUUUUGAAGAUUAAAUUUAACUUAAAGAAAGUUUGGGGUAUUACAAUAUCUCUCCCUUUGGAACAUUCGUCCUCGAAUGGGACUGACUAGACUGGGAAAGCUAAUAAACUGAUCUUACUUAAGGGACGUGAACAUUUGAACAUGUCUAUAUGACUGGAACUUCUGAUAUACUGAAAUUUCAUACUGAAUAUGCAUAUCUGAUGCAUAGAUAUAUGACGGAUAGUCUUCAUGAAUGCAUGGCUGAAAUUACUGAUCAGCUGAGUUUCUCGUGAUAAGAAUGCAUAUCUGAUGCAUGAAUACGUGACUAACAUGAUACAUGAACAUAUAACUGGAUAUGCAAUGGUAUUUGAUACCAAGUUUAUAACUGAAAUCUGAACAUAAAAUUGAAUAAGCUUAAGGAAAGCUAUUACCUUGGGUUGAGUCUGAGUUUAUGGAGAAGAGGUAAGAAUACUUAGUUCGCAUGUCUGCUUUUGCUUCCCAAAUAGCUCCCUCAACAGACUAAAUUAACAUAUUCUUAUGCAAAAUGAGUUUGAAAGAAAGACACAAGAAAUACUAGUUGCUCAAAGUGCAUCAAUUGUGGAAUGGGGGUGAGAAAGGAAUUGGACUUAUUGAUGAAGCAUGUAUACAAGAAAUCAUCUUUAAAUGAUGAACGCCCAUCUCAAGAAAACAACCAAGCUUAUGAGGAUGAAAGUGAUGAUGACUUUGACGACGUGAAUGAAAGUGAUUCUAAUCCUGAUAACGUGGAUGGAAGUGAUUUUGACCCUGAUAGUUGGUAGUUUUAUUGAGGAUUUAAGUUUGAAAUAUUUUAUUUUGGACCAUUGAAGACUCAUACAUUAUUAAUGAAAAUGUUAUGAAUUUUUUUUUUUUUUGUUAGCUAUAAUGGUUUACAUUAGACUUGUAUUAAAUAAUAUUUUUGAGAAUUAUUGGAGGUUUUAAAUAAAUUUUUGACCAAUUAUGAAAUAUUUUUAGUAAUUUACGUGUGGAUUAUUACUUGAAAAUUUUCAUGGGGAUGUACAUGCUAAAUAUUCAUGAAAAUUUUCUUGAGAAAAUUUGUUCUUGCGGAUUUACUUGGGGCAUUUCAUAUGAAUUUUCGUGCGAAAUAGUUUCAUAAAUAUCUGCAAGAAUUUUUUUUUAUUAAUUAGGAAUUUUUACCUCUAAACUUCCUUUGAAUUUACUUGGAAAUCUUCUUGGGGAAUAAUUUGUGAAUUUUUUCAUAGAAAUUCGCAGGUAAAAUCCCUUUGUAUGAAUUUUUACCAAAUAAUCCAUGUAAAAUUUUGAUAGUUAAUCGCAAAUAAAUCCGCAAACAACGUGCUUGCGGAUUUAUUUCCGUAGCUAAAUUACCUAGGGAUUUUAUAAAUCCGCAGUUAAUAAUUACCUACGAAGGUAUUUCCUUUGGAUUCUAAUUGGUAAGAAAAUCCUUAGGUAAUCAGAUUACUUGAGAUUUUACCACAUUAUCUCUAUGAAAAUCUCCAGGUAAUAAGCACUUUUCUUUAGUGAAUUAUCAUAAGGAAUGAUAAUGGAUUGAGGGUUUACAUUGAGUUGAAGAAAUAGUUUUUGGGGUUUGUUAAUUUUCCGCUGUGUAUACCCACUUUUGACAAAUUGAAUAAGGAUAUCGAGUUUGAUUGUAAAAUAGGGGCAGUACUGUGUAUUGAAGAUAGUGAAUCUAAUUUUGUUGCGUUAACGAUCAUUGAAACGCAAAAUUAGUAUUCAUUAUAUGUUCCAAAUUUGAAGUAAAAAACUUCAUUUAUAGUUGAAAGAACACCGAAAUAAAGGUUAACCAGCUUUAUAAGGAUAAGGAAACUCUGUUAUCAGUAAUGGCAAAAUAUGCGAUAUCAAAUGGCUUCAACACCUUUGCUAAACGAUCUAACAAACAAAGGUAUGAACCGAAAUAUUAUCUUUAUUUGUUAAUGGUUUAAUGUAUUUUUUUUGUAAUAGGUGUUUUGAACGAAUUGCUGUUUGGACGAUGUUAUCUAUUUGUUGAAAGAUGUAUUAAUAAUGUAUAAUAUGUACUUAUACAUUCGAACUAAUGUAUAAUGAGAUCGUAACAGGGCAAUUUCAGCAUUUUAAUUAAAAUCAUGAAUUUUAUAGCUAUAUUAAUACAUUGACUACCUGUUUAUAUUUGAUACAACUAUGUACUGCACUGUCGUAACAAAGACUGCAAAUGGGUCCUCGAGGCGUCUUGUAUGAAUCAUUCGAAAAUCUUUGUGAUAAAAAAAUUUGAUUCGAAACAUACAUGCAGUCUUAGUGAUAAAGUACUGAAUAACUUGGUUGCGACAACAAUUUUUGUGAGUAAAUUUACAGUACCAAAAUUAAUUAAUUACAAGAGAAUACACACACCCGUGGACAUAAUUAAAGAGAUGAAGGUUGUUUAUGGAGUUGAUAUUAACUACAUAAUGGCUUGGCACGUAAAAGAUAAAGCAAUUGCAAUGCUUAGAGGUGGACCAACUGAUGGAUAUCGAAAAACAUUCCGUUAUAUCUAUAAGCUGAACCAGGUGUAUCCUAAAUCUCACAUUCGGAUGCAUAAGGCAUUAGAUAAUGAGUUUAAAUACUUGUUUAUUGCCUUACAUCUCAUGAUAAGGGGUUUUGAAUUUUGCCGACCUGUCGUAGUUGUUGAUGGUUCUCAUUUAAGCUGUCCAUACAAAGGAAAAUUUGUAUCAGCAAGCACUCUUGAUGGUGCAGGUGUUAUUCAUUACUUUUAAACUUUUGUCUGUGAUUGUUAUGCAUUUUUUUAUGUAUUGAAAGUGAUUAUACAUUGAUGUUUUAUGUAUAAUAAGUUAUAGACUUGCAAAAACACUAACUAUAAUAUUGACCUACACAUAUUGUAUUGGAAUGUGUUUUUUUUUUUUUAAUUUAGGAUGUAUUCUGCCAUUAGCUUACGGUGUUGUAGAUGCAGAGAAUGACAAUGAGUGGACUUGAUUUUUUCAUUAAUUUAGUGAUAUAUUUGGGGAACGGGACAAUAUGUGUGUUGUAUCGGAUCGAAAUGAGAGUAUCAUAAAAGGUGUGAGCAUUGUUUAUCCUAAUAUCCCCCAUCUAGCAUGUAUUUGAAAUUUAUGAAAAAAUGUUUGCACAUAUUUUAGAAAAGGCAAAGAUAGACUUAGUGACCUUUAUUAUUCCCUGGCUAAAUCUUAUAGAAAAAAAGAUUUUGAUUACAUUAUGUCAAAGGUUGCUAAGGUUGAUCACAGGGUUAAGGAAUAUCUGGAAGAAGCUGGUUAUGAAAAAUGAUCUCGAUGUCACUCGCCUGUGAAUAGAGGUAGAAAGAUGACCUCUAAUAUGACCGAAUGUAUUAAAGAUUACUUGGUAGAGGCUAGAGAACUUCCUAUUCUAGGUUUCCUUGAAGAAGUUAGAAUUUUAUUUGCCGCAUGGAAUUGUAAGAACAAUAAAAUUGCAUCUUAUACCAACACAAUACUCGGGAGAAGAUUUCAAGAAAUUCUGACUCUUAAUGGGGCUAAGGCUUUGCGUAUGACGGUUAAGACAGCUGGUAGUUAUCUUUACCGUGUAUAUGAAUCGGGAAGGAGGUACAUUAUUGAUAUUGAUCAUGGCACGUGCAACUGUGGCCGGUAUCAAAUUGAUAAAAUACCCUGUCCACAUGCAAUUGUCGUGUUAAACAGUAAAAAUAUUUAUGUAAAAGAUUAUGGUCGUUACUGCUCAGAAUUAUACAGGCCAAACGCCAUUGUUAAGACGUAUGAACUCUCGAUAGUUCCAGUGCCAUACAUAAUGGAUUGGAAUGUUCCACAAUUUGUUGAUGAUGAAGAAGUUAUGCCACCCAAAUACAAAAGACCUCCGGGUAGGCCAAAGAAAGGAAGACAUUUGAAAUCUAGUGACUUACUUACUUCAAGUUCGAACUAUUGUGGUAAAUGCGGACGUGCAGGUCACAAUCGAAGGACGUACGAUUUCUUCCUAAAGGAAACGUGACGAAAAUAUUUCAUUUAUCUAUAUGUUGAUUUUUAGUUUGAUUUUGUUUGAAUAAUCAUUUUCCUUAGAUUAUGUUGACACUCUUGAAUAAUUUUGAAUUAUGUUUUAUAUUGUUAGUUGAAGUUUAAUUCUUAA